This 229-nucleotide ribosomal RNA is filed under the name uncultured bacterium. RNAcentral describes it as "partial 16S ribosomal RNA". It matches the Rfam family "Bacterial small subunit ribosomal RNA", at positions 104 to 334 of the family's 1533-position model. The record is from RNAcentral.
CGGGGUGAGUAAUGCUUGGGAAUCUAGCUUAUGGAGGGGGAUAACUACGGGAAACUGUAGCUAAUACCGCGUAGUAUCGGAAGAUGAAAGUGUGGGACCUUCGGGCCACAUGCCAUGGGAUGAGCCCAAGUGGGAUUAGGUAGUUGGUGAGGUAAAGGCUCACCAAGCCGACGAUCUCUAGCUGGUCUGAGAGGAUGACCAGCCACACUGGGACUGAGACACGGCCCAG